This 253-nucleotide ribosomal RNA is filed under the name uncultured bacterium. RNAcentral describes it as "partial 16S ribosomal RNA". It matches the Rfam family "Bacterial small subunit ribosomal RNA", at positions 524 to 776 of the family's 1533-position model. The record is from RNAcentral.
GACGUAGGUGGCGAACGUUAUCCGGAAUUAUUGGGCGUAAAGAGCGUGUAGGCGGCCUGACAGGUCUGCUGUGAAAACUCGAGGCUCAACCUCGAGAUGUCGGCGGAAACCGUCUGGCUAGAGUCCGGAAGAGGAGAGUGGAAUUCCUGGUGUAGCGGUGAAAUGCGCAGAUAUCAGGAAGAACACCUAUGGCGAAGGCAGCUCUCUGGGACGGUACUGACGCUGAGACGCGAAAGCGUGGGGAGCGAACAGG